This 497-nucleotide ribosomal RNA is filed under the name uncultured bacterium. RNAcentral's name for it is "partial 16S ribosomal RNA". It matches the Rfam family "Bacterial small subunit ribosomal RNA", at positions 28 to 507 of the family's 1533-position model. The record is from RNAcentral.
GACGAACGCUGGCGGCGUGCCUAAUACAUGCAAGUCGAGCGAACAGACGAGGAGCUUGCUCCUCUGACGUUAGCGGCGGACGGGUGAGUAACACGUGGAUAACCUACCUAUAAGACUGGGAUAACUUCGGGAAACCGGAGCUAAUACCGGAUAAUAUAUUGAACCGCAUGGUUCAAUAGUGAAAGACGGUUUUGCUGUCACUUAUAGAUGGAUCCGCGCCGCAUUAGCUAGUUGGUAAGGUAACGGCUUACCAAGGCAACGAUGCGUAGCCGACCUGAGAGGGGGAUCGGCCACACUGGAACUGAGACACGGUCCAGACUCCUACGGGAGGCAGCAGUAGGGAAUCUUCCGCAAUGGGCGAAAGCCUGACGGAGCAACGCCGCGUGAGUGAUGAAGGUCUUCGGAUCGUAAAACUCUGUUAUUAGGGAAGAACAAAUGUGUAAGUAACUAUGCACGUCUUGACGGUACCUAAUCAGAAAGCCACGGCUAACUACGUG